ACCCAAGUGGCUUAGUCAGUCAAGCGUCUGACUUCAGCUCAGGUUAUGAUCUCACAGUUUGUGGGUUCGAGCCCCGCAUCGGGCU
Molecule: transfer RNA, 85 nt
Filed under: Felis catus (domestic cat)
Lineage: Eukaryota; Metazoa; Chordata; Mammalia; Carnivora; Felidae
Rfam family: tRNA
About the family: Transfer RNA (tRNA) molecules are approximately 80 nucleotides in length. Their secondary structure includes four short double-helical elements and three loops (D, anti-codon, and T loops).
Source: Rfam by way of RNAcentral